UCCUGUUCAUUUGUGCGCUGCUUGGUUUGUAACUCUCUUGUUAAAUGUAAAGUUUUCCCUGUGAGGUCGGUGUUGGGGACAUUGGGCCGAGUCGGUGAGCUGACGUCACACUUCCUGUUAGCUCUGACGUCACACUGACGUCGGCGUUGUUUUCCACCACUCUGUGUGUUUUUAUUGUUCAUGGUGUUUAAAGUAUUACAUAAGCAGAGCCACGAAUGAGCUCAAAUGAAGCCUGAAGAAGAAGAAGCAGCGAGCAGCUCUUGGUGAAGCUAGCGCAGCCAUCUGGCUCAGGACCGUGUGAUGGAGGUGGAGCUAAACUAUGGAGGCAUUUCUUCUGGACUCACAGUUUGACAUAAGUUAAAUGGAGGUUUCUGAAGACGACCCUGGACCUCUGGAUCAUCAGCCUCUGGAGGACCACUGACCAGAUCUGACCUCACCCAAUAUUACUGUCUAUAAAGGCGACGUUCAAACCAUGUGGCUGCAUCACUGAGGCCUGACAACAUAUGGGAAUGUGUUUUACUAAAGUUUCUCUGAUGCUGUGCACAGGUGGAUUAUCUACAUGCGCACAGAAGACGAACAGUGUGGCUGCUGGUGAUUCUGUGGAGAGGCGUGGAGGAGACGCCGACUCUAACAGACGUUCACGUGUGGAUCAGAAUAAUCAGUUAGAUGGAGAAGGCAGGAGCAAGACUGGAGACCAUGAUGAUGGUGAGUGAUACUGAUGCAGUGAUUUGUAUUAUAGUCAGCUUUGUUUUAAAACACCUGUCCCACAGUAAGUGUGACUGAUAGACACAAUCGUUACUGUGUGU
Seriola dumerili (greater amberjack) is the source of this 806-nucleotide long non-coding RNA. RefSeq lists it as uncharacterized. Lineage: Eukaryota; Metazoa; Chordata; Actinopteri; Carangiformes; Carangidae. The transcript is spliced from 3 exons. The record is from RefSeq and is a predicted model, not a curated record.